GCCGGGGUCGCAUAGUGGUUAUUGCGGUUGGCUACUAUCAAGUGGACUAACUACCGAAAGGUUCCAGUGUUCGAAUCACUGUCCCGGCU
Molecule: non-coding RNA, 89 nt
Organism: Cutaneotrichosporon oleaginosum
Lineage: Eukaryota; Fungi; Basidiomycota; Tremellomycetes; Trichosporonales; Trichosporonaceae
Source: the annotation of a RefSeq genome assembly